GAUGAACGCUGGCGGCGUGCCUAAUACAUGCAAGUAGAACGCUGAAGGAAGGAGCUUGCUCUUUCCGGAUGAGUUGCGAACGGGUGAGUAACGCGUAGGUGACCUGCCUGGUAGCGGGGGAUAACUAUUGGAAACGAUAGCUAAUACCGCAUAACAGUAGAUGUUGCAUGAUAUCUACUUAAAAGGUGCAAUUGCACCACUACCAGAUGGACCUGCGUUGUAUUAGCUAGUUGGUGAGGUAACGGCUCACCAAGGCGACGAUACAUAGCCGACCUGAGAGGGUGAUCGGCCACACUGGGACUGAGACACGGCCCAGACUCCUACGGGAGGCAGCAGGAGGGAAUCUUCGGCAAUGGACGGAAGUCUGGCCGAGCAACGCCGCGGGAGUGAAGAAGGUUUUCGGAUCGUAAAGCUCUGUUGUAAGAGAAGAACGAGUGUGAGAGUGGAAAGUUCACACUGUGACGGUAUCUUACCAGAAGGGGACGGCUAACUACGUG
RNAcentral lists this ribosomal RNA (497 nucleotides) under uncultured bacterium. RNAcentral describes it as "partial 16S ribosomal RNA". It matches the Rfam family "Bacterial small subunit ribosomal RNA", at positions 28 to 507 of the family's 1533-position model. The record is from RNAcentral.